AAAGGGGGUGCCUUGCGAAAGCGCGGGGCUGAGAUUAUACCCAACGAACCUGAUACGGGUCAUGCCGUCGGAGGGAUUUUCUU
This 83-nucleotide non-coding RNA is filed under the name Phocaeicola massiliensis. The record is from RNAcentral. Lineage: Bacteria; Pseudomonadati; Bacteroidota; Bacteroidia; Bacteroidales; Bacteroidaceae.